Arvicola amphibius (Eurasian water vole) is the source of this 2106-nucleotide long non-coding RNA. RefSeq lists it as uncharacterized. The record is from RefSeq and is a predicted model, not a curated record. The transcript has 3 exons. Lineage: Eukaryota; Metazoa; Chordata; Mammalia; Rodentia; Cricetidae.
UUUCCAUAUUCUGAUCACAGUUUCUUUUCCCCUCACCCCAACUCUUCCCAGAUCCUCCCCACUUCCCCACCCACACAAAACUACUCCGUUUAUUCUCUUUCUCAUUAGAAUACAAAAUCUAGUAAUAAUAUUAUAGCUAAAAUAAAAACAAACAAACCACAAUAGGACAAAAACAAAGAAGCAGAAGAAAAAGAGCCAGAAAAAAAGCUCAAGAAACAUAUAUAGACAGACACACCCACUCAGACACAGAAAUCCUAUAAAAUUAUAAAACGAAAACAAAAGACCUGGAAGGUAAAAAAGAAGGGGGAAGCACCCUGACAAAUAUUGUGAGACAACCCCCCUAAAAUGAGGUUAUUUUGUGUUAGCCAUCUACUGCUUGGAUGUGGGGCCUGGCCUGAACAGUGGUUGGUGGGAGGUGGGGAGCCUUUGUUUGUCUGAACAGAAGAACCUCCUACACCAAACAGUGGUUCGUAUAGAGAGUUAGACCCCAUUGGAGAAAACUAAUUAUUUAUUUGUGAUUAUCAAUUCGAUGGGAGUUAGCUUCUGGGUUGGGGAGGUUUGGGGGGGAUCUUGUGUCCUUCUUCUCUCGGUGCUGGGAGCUCAUCUGGUCCAGACCUGUGCCUCCGUUCCCUCUGGCUCUUUCUCUCUUUUCACCUCCUUUUCUGCAGAGUUCUGUGAGGGGAGGGAUUAGAUAGAGACAUCCCAUUUAGGACUGAGUCUUCAAGAUCUCUCACUUUCUACACAUUGUCCAGCAAUGGAGGAAGUUCCUACAGAUUUUCUGAUCCACAGGAUCUUCUAAAACCUGGCAGACCCUGUGCUAAACAGCAGAAGACAGGUACAGGCCUGAUGUCCUUGCCCUCAAUGACCAUGGAGCACACUGAGGAGUGGCACUGUAGCCAAUGGAGAAGCCGAAUUAAAGGAUCCACCUUAAACAGUUUCAAGAGACACCAGGCAGUUCCACACCACGAAUCCUGGACAGGAGUAAAACAACCAUCUACCCCCAGGAUGUGACCAGCACCCAGCUCUCUCAGGCUCCCCAAGAAAGACUUCAACGCCCACGAGUAAGCAGAAAGCAGUCUUGAGAAUCCGCCGUCUCAAUUCCUUCAACCUGCUAUGCCUAACUCCUCACCUUUUUAUUAUAAGAUGGAAAUGCUGUAAUCUGCUGGCCUGGCCGGUCACCUGGGUACCCUGUCCCAUUGGGGGAAUAAGCUCCACCCAUUCCCAACCUCCAUCCUUCCUGACAGAGGAGUCAAGUGGAUCUCUCCCCUCGAGCCCCCCCCCAUCCCUCUUCUGAAGAGGUAACUACUGCCUUUCUUCCUUCUCCCCUUCCUCUUCUCUCUUCUCUCUCCCCUCACUUUCCUCUUUCUCUGUCCCCCUUUCUCUCUCUCCCCUUCUCCCCCCCCCUCCAUAACUCCUUACUCUUACACCAUUCCCAGUACCCACUAAGUAAACUCCACACCCAAGCUCUCUCUGCAUGGAGUAUCUAUCUGUCUGUCUCCCACCCACCAAGGGGACCCGCCGCAGCCGUGGGUCACCUGCCACUGCCUCCAAGGCCUCAGGUGACCUGCGCCACCCCUUGUGGGACUGGUAUCUCACCUGUUCUUUAUAAAUAAUUUCACUGUGACCUUCUGCCCUCAAGGUGGUGGACUUAAAGGCAUGUGCCACUAGGUGAGGCUCCAGGUUUGAUCUCCCAGCACCAGCCCCCCCAAAAUUCCAUGUAAUAUGUCUAUCUAAAGUUAUGAUCAAAAGCUUAUAUAUAUAUUCAAAGUAUCUAAAAUUUGAAUGCUUGUAUAAAAUUAAAUCUAUUUUCACUUAUUUACAAAAGUUCUCUUUCUUCAUACUGGAGAGACGGCUCAGAUACUCAGAGCGUAUACUGCUUUUGCAGAGGACCUGAGUUUAGUUACCAGCGUCCUCCUCACAGGGCUUCUACCCACCAGCUCCAGGGUAUCCAGCACCCUCCUCUGGUCGCCAAGGCACCUGUAACCAUGAGCACAAACUCAUAUAUUUACAUAAUUGAAAUAAAAAGUCAAGUUCUCUUUCUCUUAAGAAGUCAAAUACAGACGAUAGUGAUAAAAAUUUGAAUAAAAUUAUUUAAGUAAACCUAAA